RNAcentral lists this ribosomal RNA (322 nucleotides) under uncultured eukaryote. Its description in RNAcentral is "partial 18S ribosomal RNA". It matches the Rfam family "Eukaryotic small subunit ribosomal RNA", at positions 1470 to 1796 of the family's 1831-position model. The record is from RNAcentral.
CCCUUAGAUGUUCUGGGCCGCACGCGCGCUACACUGAUGCAUUCAACGAGCAUUUGCUUGGCCGAGAGGUCAGGCUAAUCUUUGAACGUGCAUCGUGCUGGGGAUAGAUGAUUGCAAUUAUUCAUCUUCAACGAGGAAUUCCUAGUAAACGCAAGUCAUCAGCUUGCAUUGAUUACGUCCCUGCCCUUUGUACACACCGCCCGUCGCUCCUACCGAUCGAAGAGUUAGGUGAAUUGUUUUGAUCGAUAAGAUUUGACUAUGGUCAACUCUCGUUGUGAAAUUCUGUGAAUCUGACUGUUUAGAGGAAGGAAAAGUCGUAACA